UACAGAGGGGGCAAGCGUUAUUCGGAAUUAUUGGGCGUAAAGGGCGCGUAGGCGGCCUGGCAAGUGGAAGGUGAAAUCCCUCGGCUUAACCGAGGAACUGCCCUCCAAACUGCUUGGCUUGAGUCCGGGAGAGGUGAGUGGAAUUCCCAGUGUAGCGGUGAAAUGCGUAGAUAUUGGGAGGAACACCAGUGGCGAAGGCGGCUCACUGGACCAGUACCGACGUUCAGGCACGAAAGCGUGGGGAGCAAACAGG
Molecule: ribosomal RNA, 253 nt
Filed under: uncultured bacterium
Lineage: Bacteria
Description: partial 16S ribosomal RNA
Rfam family: Bacterial small subunit ribosomal RNA
Source: RNAcentral